Molecule: small RNA, 1837 nt
Filed under: Pan troglodytes (chimpanzee)
Lineage: Eukaryota; Metazoa; Chordata; Mammalia; Primates; Hominidae
Description: retained intron
Source: RNAcentral
UAUUUAUAGAUCUUCCUUCUCCCCCCCCCACCUCCCAAUUUAAUUAUAAACUCCCUGAGGCCAGUAACUGUCUUAGAUUUCUGUUUCCCCAUAUAUGAUAGAAACUCAGUAGUAAACAGUCUUUUGAUUGAUUGAUGUAAAGGUCAAUAGACAUUUAUGAAGCCCCUGAAAUGUGCCAGACUCUGGGGAAUACCAAGAGGAUUAAUAUACUGUCCAAGUCCUCAAAAAGCUUAAGUCAUAAAUGUAUAAAGCCAAAUAAAUGUAUAAAUUUAUGAAGCCAAAAUGUGUGAUCCUCCAUACCAGUAGGGCUGUAGGCUAAUUAGUACACAGUAGGGAAGGGACUUAACACAGUCAACCAUAGAAUGAAAAGAACUAACAUUCAUUGCACCUUCUGCAUUUUCGUUUUUCAUAAACUACAUGGAACCAUAUUCUUCUAAACCUAGCGGUGUUUUCACAUCCGGUAUCAUUUCUGCUUUCAGAACCAACCUCAGGACUCUUUGGUUCUACCUGGUAGUUGAUGGGUUAAUAGACAUAAAAUCAAAGGCUUAGCUGCCACUUUGGAAUAAAGUUGUUUGCAGUGUGCUCCAAACUCUUGGCUUCCUCUCCAAGACAAAGGAAUGUGGACCAGACUCAACCCCUCCUCUAAUAAUGUACAUUUGGGUAGAGCUUUAUACUUCAUUAUAUAUUUUUGCUAUUUCAUUUGAGCCUCACAUUAACCCUGUGAAGUAGUGGAUUUUUGCUGGAGGAUUAAGUAAAUGAUUACCAAGGGUAAGUCAUUCCACGCACACCUUGCGCUGUAGAGGGGCCAGUGGUGGUGAGCAACUUCACUCUUUGCAGAGUCUGAGGCUCAGACAGAAGAAUUUGGCUUUAAUUUCAUUUGCAUGCCUGGCCUACCUUGUUUAAUAUAUGUUCUCCAUGGGGUAUUUCUCAGGUCUUCUGGCUCCUAGGUACUCCUCUUUAUAACACACUAAGAGAGAAUCAUCCAACUCUCUCUAGCCAAAAGCUUUCCCUCAUCUUCUUGAAGUUCUCCUGAGCCUUUGGGAACUAAGACUCUAAUGCAUAGAGUGGGGUUGGUUGGGACUGCCCUUUCUCAGAGUAGAUGAGGUAGAACUUCAUGAGGUGGACUUGCCUUAAUGUCGUUCUUUUCUUCUUUUCAGAUUGGCUCUACCAGUGCACCUGGACAGGGAGGAAUCCUGGCUCAGCGGGAGUUUGACAGGCGAUUCUCCCCUCAUUUUCUGGACUGGGCAGCCUUUGGGGUCAUGACCCUUCCCUCCAUCGGCAUCCCCCUGCUAUUGUGGUACUCCAGCAAGAGGAAAUAUGACACUCCCAAAACGAAGAAGAACUGAUUGGGGCUUCCACAGCCCUCCUCUCCCAAGAAAUCCAGGCUCCUCUCCCAAGAAAUCCAGGUGCUUUCCAGACUCCAAAGAGUAUCUUAAAUGCAAUCUCUUCUCUCUUAGCCCUUGGCCACUUUCUCCUGGAUCCUGCCCUGCUCUCAGCCAUAGUGAAGGACCAGGCCUAGGAGUCUGCGAGAGCCUCCUUGGUUCCAUCGUGAAGCCAUAAACAGGAAUGCCUUUGGCAAUAGCCUUGAGCCUAGAGGGCCCUCUGAUGCCCCACUGAGGUGCUGUUGGUUUAUUGCUGGCAAUGUGAAUUCUCUCAGGGGUCUAGGAGGGGCAUUUUGGAGACUGCCUGACACCACCCCUAUCCCCUGCCUCCCCCUCUCAGAAGAGGGUGGAAGAUGAAAUGAAAGCUAUGGGACUCUUGGAGGAUACCCAGUGUCUAUUCUGGGUUAGAGAAGUGCUUACUAAGGGGUUUUCUAAUAAAAACAAAUGCCACAUUG